Long non-coding RNA from Sapajus apella (tufted capuchin), 1188 nucleotides. RefSeq lists it as uncharacterized. The record is from RefSeq and is a predicted model, not a curated record. Lineage: Eukaryota; Metazoa; Chordata; Mammalia; Primates; Cebidae. The transcript has 2 exons.
CUCCCACCUCAGACUCCUGAACAGCUGGGACCACAGCAAAUAUUCUCAGAGCUCUUCGUGAUAUCUUGGGGAAAACAGUCAAGAAGGCAGAUAAACGGAAUGACAAUGUUUUGGCAAAGUGACUUAGAAGGGUGAGGCGUGGCUUAGGCCUAGGAAGCAUCUGAUACGUGGCACCCUGGCCCUGUGAAUUUGGGCAGGGCAGCCAGGGCCAGGCUGUUCCUGUAGGUCAGAGUGAGGAAACAGACAGAAAACGACCGGCGGUCUGUGCACGCGGAAGUGAACAGCCACUUGGGGCCACCACAGACUGCGGUACUUUCUUCACAGCCCUAUCAAGACGAACCUUCCCUGUCUUAUCAUAGUAAGCUGGAUUUUGGACACAGCAAGAAAGCAGGGAACUGCUGACACUCCUAGCCUCUGCUGCAUGGCCCAGAAGAGUUGUGUCCAAGUCAAGUUCCUCAGUGAAACCUCAUGACAACACGGAAAGGAGGGUGAGAAGGGUGAGAAGCCGUUCACUGUGUUUACUUGUGAGGAAACGAGAACAGUAGUGAGCAGGGGACUUUCUUCUUCUGUUCUGAAUUAGGUACAGAUCAGUCAGGGUGGAAAGUCAACAGCUAAGAGUCCAAUUGGGCCAUUUAACAGAAUUUGAUGAAGGACCACAUGUAAAGCAUGGAUAGGAUACAGAGAAAUGUUACAGACAGUCCUCUGGACGAUAAACAGUGGGCACCAUGACUAGCCUUGGGCUGGGAGGGAGGAAGAGGGGGGUGGUGACUUGGAGAGAUGGAACUCUUGGGCACAUCCCCUGGCAGAAGCUGAAACCUUUGGGAGAGGAAUGCAGCUGGCCCAUGACUCUGUAAGGAGAAGCCUGGGUGGUUAAUGGCCUGACCCCUUUCUCCUCUGCCAGCUCCCACCAGCCAGCCCAGCAAGAAGCCAGAGGGCAAGGGGACCCAGAGCAGGGUGGCAGCAGGUGAAGGAGGGAGGCAUGAAUCAGGGAAAGUGGAGGGAAGAUACCAACACACUGUGGGGGUUCUGUAGGGUUUAUAUCUUUGGCAAUAAGAAUGUAUGUGUAUAUUUUCUGUGAAACACACACGUAGAUUCCUAGGCAAAUCAGCUUCUAAAUGAAAAGCCACCAUGACCUGUAUCUCUCUGGGACUAGCCUAUCUACUCGAGAAAUGCAUGUUACAUUUCUGU